This 333-nucleotide ribosomal RNA is filed under the name uncultured bacterium. RNAcentral describes it as "partial 16S ribosomal RNA". It matches the Rfam family "Bacterial small subunit ribosomal RNA", at positions 338 to 668 of the family's 1533-position model. The record is from RNAcentral.
CCUACGGGUGGCAACAGUGAGGAAUAUUGGUCAAUGGACGCAAGUCUGAACCAGCCAUGCCGCGUGCAGGAAGACGGUUCCAUGCAUUGUAAACUUCUUUUGUACGAGGGCAAACUCAGAUUCGAGUACCUGACUGAGAGUAUCUUAAGAAAAAGCAUCGGCUAACUCCGUGCCAGCAGCCGCGGUAAUACGGAGGAUGCAAGCGUUAUCCGGAUUUAUUGGGUUUAAAGGGUGCGUAGGCGGUCGGAUAAGUUAGGGGGGAAAUCCCGAGGCUCAACUUCGGGAUUGCCGUUGAUACUGUUCGUCUAGAGAGGUGUAGCGGUAUGCGGAAUG